GAUGAACGCUGGCGGCGUGCCUAAUACAUGCAAGUCGAGCGAACAGACGAGGAGCUUGCUCCUCUGACGUUAGCGGCGGACGGGUGAGUAACACGUGGAUAACCUACCUAUAAGACUGGGAUAACUUCGGGAAACCGGCGCUAAUACCGGAUAACAUGUUGAACCGCAUGGUUCAACAGUGAAAGACGGUUUUGCUGUCACUUAUAGAUGGAUCCGAGCCGCAUUAGCUAGUUGGUAAGGUAACGGCUUACCAAGGCAACGAUGCGUAGCCGACCUGAGAGGGUGAUCGGCCACACUGGAACUUAGACACGGUCCAGACUCCUACGGGAGGCAGCAGUAGGGAAUCGUCCGCAGAGGGCGAAAGCCUGACGGAGCAACGCCGCGUGAGUGAAGAAGGUCUUCGGAUCGUAAAACUCUGUUAUUAGGGAAGAACAAAUGUGUAAGUAACUAUGCACGUCUUGACGGUACCUAAUCAGAAAGCCACGGCUAACUACGUG
RNAcentral lists this ribosomal RNA (497 nucleotides) under uncultured bacterium. Its description in RNAcentral is "partial 16S ribosomal RNA". It matches the Rfam family "Bacterial small subunit ribosomal RNA", at positions 28 to 507 of the family's 1533-position model. The record is from RNAcentral.